AAGAGGAGACAGGCGAUGGCGUGGGUGCAGGAGCGCCUGGCUGGCAGGAAGCCGACUUCCGGGGCGCUGCUCCAACAGGCCAGUGAUCAGGCCUGGAAUUGGGAGAGUGUGCUCAAGAGGCAUUUGGAUGGGGCACGAAACUGGAAAGGAAAAAAGCCAAAACAGGCCCCGGGGCCUUCAGAGGCCAGGGAGGAGUUCACAGGGCCACAGGCUGCUCAAGGUGAAAAUACCUCUCAGCAGCCAGAGCGUGACCCUGGGGCACAAGGACAUGGCCCCCGCUGUACCAGAUCCCUGCUCUCGAGGUGGGGGGUCCCACACUCCACUCCUCUGCCAGGCGGAACAGAGAACCUUUUGCAUUAACAAGACGAGAAGUAUCAUCCCAUGACCACGCUGGAGGCCCCUUUCACAAGGAAGCAGGGCCGAGCAGUUAGGAACCCCCACUGCCACCAGCCCAGCCUCCCAGGGAGAGGAACCCGAAAAAUGACAACAGGGCAAGAUGUCAGGGAAGCCGUGUCUUUGCAAAUCAGCACAUCCUUGGACAGUCUCAGGCGUCAUCUGCUAAUGAACUUGCUGAACCGCAGACAAUUAUUUCUGGAACUGAGGGAGAAGGGCAAGGAGGCAGGGGCUGGGCAGAGCCGACAGACCGAGAGCCUUGUCCAGGCGGAGCCUCGGCGUCCACACCAAGAUGGCUCUGGGCCCCGCAGAUGCUUUCCAGGCCACCUUCCCUGGGACCAGUGGCCCCUCUGCGCUCUGGCACGUGAGGCCUCAGCUCUCUGAAUACACACCAUGGUGUCAGGGGCUUGCUUUCUAAUCUGCCAGACCCCUCCUGACCGUACUCCCCAAGCCAGGGAGCUCCUCCGGCCGCCGGGGCCAGGGGCGGGCUCACUUGAACUGCUCUGGAUACAGAUGGUUAGAACCACAGUGGGAAAGGUCAGAGGCAGCAAUGCCUGGGCCCACAGAGAGCGGCUGCCGAUCGGGGACAAGCUUUGCAAAGGACCAGGUCGAGCCUCGCUGAUGGGUCCCUCGGACCCUCCCACUCACACGGCGGCACCCUCUGCCGGGCUCUCUGACCGCCACUGACCACCAACAGGCAAGAGGCUGGGCGGCCACGGCCCCGAGCCAGGCCCGACUCCGUGAGGCUGUGCACGGGCACCAUGGACACAGAGCUGGGAGCCAGGUCACCCUUGUGGAGCGAGGGUGGCCGGGGGGCUCCUCCGCCCCUUUCUCCGUCCCCCUGCAUGGCAGACAUCACAGAUCGAUUCCUGGGCUCCUUCCCGCUGAGCCGUGGGCCCCCGCUCUCCCAACAACCCUUCCGAUCAAUCCGGCUGCCACUGGCAUGCCUCUGAGAGCCGAUUUUCCACGCGUGCCAACGACUGACUAACCCACAAGAGAAUGUGAACGCACAGCUUUCGGCCAACGGGCAUUCCGCAGUCGGGCAGACGCUCAGCCUUCUUUCCGUCCUCAUCAAGAGGAAACCGAGCCACCCUGGAAGCACCCGGUGGGGCUUUACUCUCAUGGGGCGGAAGGACGGCCCCCCCCCACCCCCCACCCCAGGCCUCUCCCCUCCCUGGCAUCGCACAGCACACCAGGCUGGCCACACACCUGGCCUCAGCACCACACGCCAAUGCCCCUAGGAGCUCUGGCCGGGGCACCCCCGCCCGAAGCCGCCGCACGCCGGACCCCACGCCCACGCAGCUCCCUCCACAGACCUUCCGCAGCACCGGCGACGGAAGAAGAAUCCAGUCCCAGCCACCUACCUGAAGGAGCCAGUAGCACCUCCGGUGGAAGAUGAGAGGCAUCAUCGAUGAAGGCUGGAGAGAGGGACAGCGGACCCCUGACGAGAGCGAACCAUGUCAAGUAGCAUCGAGGGAGGAAGGGAAGCCCCCUCUAGAACCCUAAGGACUCAAGGAGCCCAAGCGCAUGCCCCCCUCCCCGUGUUGCCUUGCCCCGCACGCUGGGUCCCUCCCAUGGCUCACUGCCCAUCUGUACUUCCGGGACUGGAAGCUCCAGGGUGAGGCAGGGAGCCUCAGACCCUCUGAAUGACGGUGGCCAACAAGUGUCCCACCGGUCUCCACAGCCCAGUACAGGGUACAGGACCUGAAGGCAAUAAAUGGUUCAUUUUUGCUUGUGUUA
Molecule: long non-coding RNA, 2133 nt
Organism: Herpailurus yagouaroundi (jaguarundi)
Lineage: Eukaryota; Metazoa; Chordata; Mammalia; Carnivora; Felidae
Exons: 2
Source: RefSeq, a predicted model, not a curated record